ACUUUUAAAGAAAUUGUGAAGUAAUGUCAUGUUAUGUUAAUAAAUUUCAUCAAGUAAUUAUAUUAUCAAGUAAUGCCAUGCAUUAUUUACCAUAUAGAAUUAAGUAAUAAUGUCAGUUCGAUGGAAUAAUAUUACUCAAUCGUUGCGUCAAAUUUGACAAUUUGUAAAUUUACUUGUCAUUGUAUUUGUAGAUAUACUGUCAGUCGGUUUGUGACUUAUUUGGUGUGAACAUUCUUAUCUCUGGUAUCAUUAGAGAAAUAUCUAAUAGUGAAUGAGAUUUAGAAGAUAUGCCUUGUACACCGCCAGACAUUUUAAAAUUAGCGGCUAGCGCUACAGAAAAUCUCCUACCUAACAAGUCAAAAGGUGAAUAUGAUAUGGUGUACAAAAGUUUUAUGGAUUGGCAACUGACACAAAAAACAUCUUUUUCUGUAAAUGUUAUCCUAGUGUAUUUUGUUAAACUUGCUAAAAAAUACAAGUCAUCAUCAUUGUGGGCAUAUGCUGAAAAGUACAUUGAAUAUUUACCAUAGUAUCCACCUAGAGACUUACAUGAAGUUACAGGCAUUUUUAAAAUGUCAGUCCGAGGGCCAUCAACCGAAAAAAUCUAAAACUUUUACGCCCGAAGAAGUCAGUAAAUUUAUUAAAGAAGCGCCAGAUCAUACCUUUCUAAUGACAAAGGUAACCUUAAUCAUGGGGCUAAUGGGAGCGUGCCGAUCGAAUGAAUAUAUUUUAUGAAAACUAAAGAUAUAGAAGAUUACAUUUACAAGAUUAUUUUACAUCGAAAAUGGCUGGAAAACACUUCAUUUCACGAACGUUUGAUAUGAAUUUGAUUGAACAGUUUGAGAUGGAAAAGAAGCAACGGAAGACCUUUUCAACCUCUUUCAUUUGUUCAGGAGAGAGUGGCAACUGCGCUGAAAAUAUCUGUUAAAAUGGUAUGUUCUGUUAAGAAAGGAAGGUAAAAAUUCCAACUUUCCCAACAACACUCAGUCGGAGACCUCAAUUAAAACUAAAAACAGAGGAUGUAUCCGAGGGAACCAAAAUGUUGGUGCAGAAUACCUUAUAAAACGUUCAAAUAUUAGAGUACAAUACAUCUAAUGUGGUUCUGCGUGUUGCUGAGAAACGGAAUAAGAACUACUUGGUCUCUUAUUUUGUUUUGAUAAAUUUAGACCUUACAUCAAAAGAACUAGAUUCACUGCUGUUACGGAAAACUCAGUAGGUGGGCUUUACGUAUUUGUCAGUAUACUUUUGAUCUUGUUCACAGAAAAGGUUCUAACAAUGUUGUUCCGGAUGCUCUUUCUCGCUGAAGAUAAUGAUAAACCUGAAUCAGUAGUUUCGGAGUCAAAUGAAUUUCUUUCUUAUGUCCAAGACGAUAGUGACCGGAUCGAUGCUUGGUUUACAAAAUUUCGAGACAAAAUUCUUGCUUCACCUAAUUCGUAUCCACGAUGGAAAGUUGAAAAUAAUAUGAUUUUCAAAUUCGUCCCCAAUAAUUCACUUUUGAAACCUGAUCUCCCAGAGUGGAAAAUUUUAGUGCCUCAAAGAAAAGAUGUUAUUAAAUCUUGUCACGAUCCGCCUACUAGCGGUCAUGUUGGUUUCUUUAAAACUCUCAGUAGCAUUCAAGAAUUUUAUUAUUGGCCGAAAAUGGGACAAAAUAUUCUAGAAAUGUUAAAAGUUGUAAUGUUUGUGCUUCAAAAAAAGUUCCAAAUCAGACAAGAAUGAGUCUUAUGGGCCAGAAAAAAAUUAUUGAUCGUCCUUUUCAGCAUAUAGCAAUCGAUUUAAUGGGUCCAUUUCCAUGUUCAAAAAAAGGUCAUAAAUGGCUUCUUGCUGUCAUUGAUUUUUAUUCUAAAUUCACUUUGUUAUUUCCUAUUCGUAAUGCUACAGCUCGAGUUGUCAGUGACAUCAUUGAAAAUAGAGUCCUUUUAGGUAAACAAUUUAUUUCCAAGGAACUUAAGUCUGUAAAAAUUACGAAGUUAAAAACAUCUGUUUAUUCACCACAGUGUUAUUUCACUCAUGGUACUGCCAUCCAUUGUUACGUUGAUUCACAUGAUACUUGGGAUAUAGAAAUUUCGAAAAUUCAGCAAGCGAUUCCACGAAUGAAACCACAGGUUAUCCUUCGUGUUUAAUUGUUUAUGGACGCCAUACACCACUUUCAGGAAAAUUUUAUAAUCAUUACCGUGCUGAUUUAGGUGAUAACUCUAAAGAUGCUCAAUUGCCAGAAUUUAUCCCUGGUGAUUUGAAAACUUAUGUCAAAGAUCUUAAUGACCUAAAAAAUAUGUUUUCGUAUGUUAAAAAGAAAUUACAAAAGGCUAAUAAGGUUCUUUCUGAUGCUGCUAAUAAGUUUACAGCAAAAAUAGCUGAAAAGUAUAUUUUGUCUAUUGUUAAAAAGAAAUAUUGGCGGAACUAAAGCAGGGAAGUGGCACAUAAAAUAUCUCAAGCCUUAUUAUGAUGGUGUUUCGGCCGAUGAGUCGAGUGAUUCAGAUGGUUCCUCUUCUGAAUAGUUUUUUAGUGUUGCUUGGAUCUUAGAUCGCGACAUCUAUCUUGUUCUUCUCUCGAUUUUGCCUUCUAGUUUGUGUAGUUAGUUGAUAGUUUAUAUUACGUAUAAUGUUUUCUUCACAUUAUAAGUAUACAUAAUAUACGAUACCUUCUUUAAUUUUUUUGUUCCUCUUUUGCUGUUUGAUUGGACCCUACUAAUUGUGACCUUAUCUCGAUUAUGACCUUUUCCCAAUUGUGACCCACCAUUGAUGAGUCCUAUUUUAUAGGCGAGUAAUACGCGUUAGGUAUCAAAAUUCAAACAGGCAAAAGCUUUGAAUUUGUCGCUUUGCGUUGAUCUUUAGAAAAAUAGUCUUGCAAGCAAUUCUAUUUUUUCCUCGGAGGGGGGCAUUGUAACGUUUUCACUGCAUACAGCUUGCGUUACUUUUGUUAUAAACAUUAUACGAUAUAAACCUACCUACUUCUUUUCGUUAAUAAUUUUCUUUAUAAGAUAUUUUGUCAUAUUAUCUUUGAGUAGAAAUAUUUACAUAUUAUAUUUUAUACCUCAUUCGUAGUUUUGUAUGUACUUGUUGGUGACAUACUGGGUUCCUGGAAUUUAAGUUAUUUAGCACAGUUUAAUUUGUCCUUUUGUUGAACUAUUUUUAUAUAAACAAAUUGAAUGUUUGGUUUAUUUUCUUUUGAGGUUAAGUCUUGGUCUACAGGACGCAAGCAUUAUUCGAAAUUUGCCAGGCGUGGUAUAACUGGUUGCGGAAUUAUGUUGCUUGUAAGAGCCAAGUUGCUUCCCCUUAGAAGGUUCGAGCAACAUCUAGUUAACUGGUCACAAGUUAAGUUAUUCGUGCAGUAUUUUGUAAAUUUUGCGGAUAUUCAUUUGCUAGCUGGUGUUUUUGAAAUUGAGCUAUUGUUGCACCUGGCUAGAUUGUCGUCAUGACGUGUGACCCGAUUUUGCUAAAGAAGUCUACUGCUAACUUCAUUCAUAUUUUCCUUUUGACUGUCAACGGUGUGGAAUUUUUCAUUAUGUAUUUGAUUAUAAAUUUAUAAUCGAAUUUUCGACUGAGAAUUUGACAAUUGGAGAUGUAGUUACCUUGUUCUUUUGGUCAGCGAUCGUGCUAGCGUGAAGAUCAAUUUCUCCAGAGAUUUUUGAAAAGCGGGAUUUAGCCGGCCUAAAGGAGCCUUCCGCCGAUUCCAAAAAUUCAGAAGUAUGCAAUGUCUCUUUUCAACAUCGGAUUUUUUUUUGCUUUUUAUUGCAAAUUAUUUAAAUGUAUUGCAGUAACCGGACAAGAAGUCUCAAAACUAGAUGAAUUUUCUGCAGAAUUUUCACAAGGUACUUCCUUUGGUAUCAAUAUUCUUGUUUACUUCAUCUGCCUCAGGAAUACUUAUAUUUUGAACAGAAUAUGGUCAACCAUCAUUGGUUAGCCCAAAGAUACAUUACAAUUUGGUCCUUCGAGCCGUAUUUUAAGUAAAGUCAUUUUUGGUCAAGUUCAAUAUUCAGUGCUGUGUGACCGAUGAUAGACUUCAAACGGCCGGUGUCGGGAAUGAACAUAACUACUAUUGGUAAGUGCUAUGUUUCAAUGUAUCAUGUAUUUGAGAAGUAAUGUCUGAAAUGCUAGAACUGAAGGCUUUUGUUCCAAAGAAAGGGUUAAUAAAGGGAAAAUUGACAAGGUUUCGAAAUUAUUUUCAAAGUUUUGUUAAUAAAAUGCAGAUAAAAAUAAGUUUCUGAAUUACAAAGAAUAGAAAAAGUUUUAUCUUUAUAUGAUGAUUUUAUUGAGGUACAGGGGCAGAUUGAAUUAACAAACAGUAAUAUUAAAUAUAAAUAUGAAUGACAUUCUUUUGAACAUUAUUAUUUUGAGCUAGCUCUAUGCGAUGAAUUAAUCUCAGAACGAUCACAGAAUCUAGGCGGUCCCUCUGGCAAUUAUGUUUAUUCUAAUGCAAAUAUUGCAAGUCUAGGUUCUGGCAACAAUUUACAGUCAUUGGUCAAGAUACCAACAUUUAUCGGACACUACGAAUCAUGGUUUGAAUUUAUUUGAAACAGUAGUUUGACUCUAGUUCAAAAGAACGCAGCUUUAUCUGAUAUUCAAAUAUUUUAUUAUUUGAGAUCCUCUCUAGAAAAUAAGCCCAACAAGUAAUAAAAUCUAUAGAGGUUUCUUCAAGCCACCAUACAAUUGCUCGGCAGAUGUUGGAAGAGAAUCAAAAUAAAAAUUUAAUAAUUCCACCGAUUACCAAAGAAUCACACACAGAAAUAAUAAAUUUAUUUGAUAAAGUAACAAAACAUUUGCUUUUGUUAAAGUUCUUUAGAAACUGACAAUUCGGAUAGCAUAAUAAUUUAUAUAAUGAGCUCGAAAUUUGAUGGCGUGACGAGUAGAAACGGAAUGCUUUAAAUAUGAUCCAGAUUUAUACAAAUAACAAGAUAUGAAUAUGUUAUUAAAAGAGAAAUGUAAUAUGUUAGAAAAAUUAGAAAGUUUAUGUGCUAAUAUGGUUACUAAAGGGAAGUCAAAAUCGGUGUCUUGCUUCUAUUGAUGAGAGUAGGGAUCCUCUAGCGGUUUGGGGUGUUGCAUACGAUUCAACAUCUAUAUAGUCGUUUACGAACAUUUUUGGAGUGCAGUUCAGUUUUACAAUUUUAAAGUAUCGUAAGGUAUAUAUCUACGUGUACUUCAGACUUUUUUUAUACUCAGUUUUACAGUUACAUUUUUAAAAAACAAUUUGUGCAAUUUGCAAAAAACUGGUGAUGAAAUUUUACUGUUUGAUACAGUAGAAAACUUGAAUAGAUGUAGGAGAAUGUUAAUCGCUCGUAAGAAACAUCAAAUGCGAUUUUGUGAUGUGAUUUUACCUAAUGAUAUUAGAUACUACAAUGUUACGUAAACUUUACUGCCGUAGGCAAAAAUAUUGAGAUGAAGAAAGUGUUGUGACUGCUAACCAGAAAACUGUCUGGUAUCACCUCAGCCAUUGAUUCCACAUACAUCCACGGAAACAGAACAAUUGGAACAAGGUGCUAUGUAUAAUGGAUGAUACGAGUAUGAAAAUAAUGACCUUGAAAUUAUCGAACCAGGAUUAGAUGCUGAAUAAUUAUUAGUAUUAAGAAAGAAUUAUAUCGCUUGCAUUUGGAGAAAUGGACAUCUGGCUUUGCCUACAAUAUUGAGACCAGGAGACAACAGAUGGGUGUUGAAUGAUGGUCAGUACGAGUAUCACUGGUGUGAGGGACAUCAGCUACCACCUACAGUAAGUGAUGCUAUCGCUAACUACAACAUUGAUAUCGAAGUAGAGUAGAUGGUGCCAAUAUGGAUGGAAAGUGUAUUUACUAUUUUUUGUAUAAAUAGCAUACAUAUGUAUGCUUAUUUCUUAGACCUUUUGAUAGGUUUAUGUCUCUAACUCUUUGCCAGUCAUAUUAUGAGUACUUUUUUGGGAAAGUGGCAAGGAAAUUUGAAUAUUGCAUUUUGAAUUCUAUGAGUUUAAAGAUUUCUGAAAGCAUGAAUAAAUAUCAGAAGUUACCGGAAAUCUUAAUUAAUUAUUUCCCAGGCGAUGAAUAUUAAGUGAUGAUGAAUAAUAAGUAUUCGAAAGCUCGGAAAAUAUAUUCCAUUGUUUUUCCGAUAUGUAGAUGAUUGAAUUAAUGCUGUACUAAAGAAUAAAAUUGAAAACAUAAAAAAAUUCAAUUCUUAUCAAAAAAAACUUCAAUUCCCAAUCGAGGUUGAGCAAAAUAAUAGAAUCAAUUUUUUUGAUGUCACAUUAUAUAAAAUUAACAAUAACAUUAGAACAGAAUGUUAUACGAAACCAACUUGGUUCUCAAGAUAUUUAAACUUCGAUUCGUGUCUUUCUAUGUCACAAAAAAGAUCAGUGAAAAUAAGUUUGGCUGAUAGAUCUAUUCAACUAUCAGAUCCUGAGUUUUAGGUGCUUAGCUAUUCAAAAAGCAAAAACUGCAUUGAAAGAAAAUAAUUAUCCGAAAAAAAUGAUAAACAACAUAUUCAAGAAAAGGAUAAACAGAUACUACAAUCAAUUUAAAAACAAAACAGAAACGAAACAUCAAAACAUAAAACAUUUUUCCUUACCAUAUGCACAAGGCCUUUCCCAACAAUUAUCGAAUUAUUUCAAUAAAUAUGAUAUUAGUACAAGUCAUAAAGGACAUAAUACAUUAUCCAAAUAUUUCAUUAAAUUAAAUUAAAUCUAAAACACUAAAAAAAAAAAA
Long non-coding RNA from Diorhabda sublineata, 6658 nucleotides. RefSeq lists it as uncharacterized. The transcript has 7 exons. The record is from RefSeq and is a predicted model, not a curated record. NCBI's taxonomy places the organism in Eukaryota, Metazoa, Arthropoda, Insecta, Coleoptera, Chrysomelidae.